AGAGUUUGAUCCUGGCUCAGGACGAACGCUGGCGGCGUGCCUAAUACAUGCAAGUCGAACGCUUCUUUUUCCACCGGAGCUUGCUCCACCGGAAAAAGAGGAGUGGCGAACGGGUGAGUAACACGUGGGUAACCUGCCCAUCAGAAGGGGAUAACACUUGGAAACAGGUGCUAAUACCGUAUAACAAUCGAAACCGCAUGGUUUUGAUUUGAAAGGCGCUUUCGGGUGUCGCUGAUGGAUGGACCCGCGGUGCAUUAGCUAGUUGGUGAGGUAACGGCUCACCAAGGCCACGAUGCAUAGCCGACCUGAGAGGGUGAUCGGCCACAUUGGGACUGAGACACGGCCCAAACUCCUACGGGAGGCAGCAGUAGGGAAUCUUCGGCAAUGGACGAAAGUCUGACCGAGCAACGCCGCGUGAGUGAAGAAGGUUUUCGGAUCGUAAAACUCUGUUGUUAGAGAAGAACAAGGAUGAGAGUAACUGUUCAUCCCUUGACGGUAUCUAACCAGAAAGCCACGGCUAACUACGUGCCAGCAGCCGCGGUAAUACGUAGGUGGCAAGCGUUGUCCGGAUUUAUUGGGCGUAAAGCGAGCGCAAGCGGUUUCUUAAGUCUGAUGUGAAAGCCCCCGGCUCAACCGGGGAGGGUCAUUGGAAACUGGGAGACUUGAGUGCAGAAGAGGAGAGUGGAAUUCCAUGUGUAGCGGUGAAAUGCGUAGAUAUAUGGAGGAACACCAGUGGCGAAGGCGGCUCUCUGGUCUGUAACUGACGCUGAGGCUCGAAAGCGUGGGGAGCAAACAGGAUUAGAUACCCUGGUAGUCCACGCCGUAAACGAUGAGUGCUAAGUGUUGGAGGGUUUCCGCCCUUCAGUGCUGCAGCUAACGCAUUAAGCACUCCGCCUGGGGAGUACGACCGCAAGGUUGAAACUCAAAGGAAUUGACGGGGGCCCGCACAAGCGGUGGAGCAUGUGGUUUAAUUCGAAGCAACGCGAAGAACCUUACCAGGUCUUGACAUCCUUUGACCACUCUAGAGAUAGAGCUUCCCCUUCGGGGGCAAAGUGACAGGUGGUGCAUGGUUGUCGUCAGCUCGUGUCGUGAGAUGUUGGGUUAAGUCCCGCAACGAGCGCAACCCUUAUUGUUAGUUGCCAUCAUUCAGUUGGGCACUCUAGCAAGACUGCCGGUGACAAACCGGAGGAAGGUGGGGAUGACGUCAAAUCAUCAUGCCCCUUAUGACCUGGGCUACACACGUGCUACAAUGGGAAGUACAACGAGUCGCGAAGUCGCGAGGCUAAGCUAAUCUCUUAAAGCUUCUCUCAGUUCGGAUUGCAGGCUGCAACUCGCCUGCAUGAAGCCGGAAUCGCUAGUAAUCGCGGAUCAGCACGCCGCGGUGAAUACGUUCCCGGGCCUUGUACACACCGCCCGUCACACCACGAGAGUUUGUAACACCCGAAGUCGGUGAGGUAACCUUUUUGGAGCCAGCCGCCUAAGGUGGGAUAGAUGAUUGGGGUGAAGUCGUAACAAGGUAGCCGUAUCGGAAGGUGCGGCUGGAUCACCU
Molecule: ribosomal RNA, 1549 nt
Filed under: Enterococcus faecium EnGen0177
Lineage: Bacteria; Bacillati; Bacillota; Bacilli; Lactobacillales; Enterococcaceae
Also listed under: 1 other name
Description: bacterial SSU rRNA
Rfam family: Bacterial small subunit ribosomal RNA
Source: RNAcentral